UUGACCGCUGGCGGCAGGCCUAACACAUGCAAGUCGAGCUUAUGAGUGGAGCUUGCUCCAUGAUUCAGCGGCGGACGGUGAGUAAUGCCUAGGAAUCUGCCUGGUAGUGGUGGACAACGUUCCGAAAGGAACGCUAAUACCGCAUACGUCCUACGGGCGAAAGUGGGAGAUCUUCGGACCUCACGCUAUCAGAUGAGCCUAGCUCGGAUUAGCUAGUUGGUGUGGUAAAGGCUCACCAAGGCCACGAUCCGUAACUGGUGUUAGAGGAUGAUCAGUCACACUC
Molecule: ribosomal RNA, 283 nt
Filed under: Stutzerimonas stutzeri
Lineage: Bacteria; Pseudomonadati; Pseudomonadota; Gammaproteobacteria; Pseudomonadales; Pseudomonadaceae
Description: Pseudomonas stutzeri partial 16S ribosomal RNA
Rfam family: Bacterial small subunit ribosomal RNA
Source: RNAcentral